GAUGAACGCUAGCGGGAGGCUUAACACAUGCAAGUCGAGGGGCAGCAUAGGGUAGCAAUACUCUGAUGGCGACCGGCAAACGGGUGAGUAACGCGUAUGCAACCUACCCUGUACAGGGGGAUAACCCGGAGAAAUUCGGACUAAUAUCCCGUAAUAAUAUCCGGAGGCAUCUUUGGAUAUUUAAAGUUCCGACGGUACGGGAUGGGCAUGCGUAACACUAACUGGUUGGUAAGGUAACGGCUUACCAAGGCUAUGAUGUUUAGGGGUCCUGAGAGGGUGGUCCCCCACACUGGUACUGAGACACGGACCAGACUCCUACGGGAGGCAGCAGUGAGGAAUAUUGGUCAAUGGGCGCAAGCCUGAACCAGCCAUCCCGCGUGCAGGAAGACGGCCCUAUGGGUUGUAAACUGCUUUUCCAGGGAGAGAAACUUACGCACGUGUUGCGUGACUGACGGUACCCUGGGAAUAAGCAUCGGCUAACUCCGUG
Molecule: ribosomal RNA, 487 nt
Filed under: uncultured bacterium
Lineage: Bacteria
Description: bacterial SSU rRNA
Rfam family: Bacterial small subunit ribosomal RNA
Source: RNAcentral